Asparagus officinalis (garden asparagus) is the source of this 170-nucleotide long non-coding RNA. RefSeq lists it as uncharacterized. The transcript has 3 exons. The record is from RefSeq and is a predicted model, not a curated record. NCBI's taxonomy places the organism in Eukaryota, Viridiplantae, Streptophyta, Magnoliopsida, Asparagales, Asparagaceae.
CUGGACUUUAGGGAUAAGAGAAAUUGAGGCCAGGCAGUCUUAAAGAAAGACAUACUGUAUCCAUCAGGCCCUGGGGCUUUAUCCUCAGACAUGGACCUGAUUUGAUAAUGUUGAUGUCAGGAGGGAGAGUGUUAAUUGCCUUGCCCAUCAGAUUUUUAUAAUAUGAUGUA